This 2550-nucleotide long non-coding RNA is filed under the name Volvox carteri. RNAcentral's name for it is "long non-coding RNA (VCAR_LNC003605)". Lineage: Eukaryota; Viridiplantae; Chlorophyta; Chlorophyceae; Chlamydomonadales; Volvocaceae. The record is from RNAcentral.
CCGGCUGGACGUCGGCCCCAUCUUCCGAGGCCUGCUGCACGUGCAGCACAUGGAUGGGAACAUGACAAUUAGCAUCAGGAACAAGAAAGAGGGCAACGGGUAACGAAUACACAACGAAACACACAAACGUGGCACAGAUGUGGCCCACCACUACCUGCCUACAUCAAACAAAUCUGCCGUACUCCGAUAGCCAUAUCGUAGUACGACAGCGUCUUGAUGCCCCACGUAAAACACAUAAGAGCCCCGACCCUCGCCCCCAUCUUACCUCCAUUCCCGGUUGGACGUUGGCCCCAUCUUCCGAGGCCUGCUGCACGUGCAGCACAUGGAUGGGAACAUGACAAUUAGGGCAGGCACGUCAAUGGCGGAGGCGAAACAUACACGCCCCCCUCCCCCAACCAGCCCCAGCCACCCUCCAUAGCAUCAGGAACAAGAAAGAGGGCAACAGGUAACGAUUCCACAACGAAACACACAACCGUGGCACAGAUGUGGCCCACCACUACCUGCCUACAUCAAACAAAUCUGCCGUACUCCGAUAGCCAUAUCAGAGUACGACAGCGUUUUGAUGCCCCACGUAAAACACAUAAGAGCCCCGACCCUCGCCCCCAUCUUACCUCCAUUCCCGGCUGGACGUCGGCCCCAUCUUCCGAGGCCUGCUGCACGUGCAGCACAUGGAUGGGAACAUGACAAUUAGCAUCAGGAACAAGAAAGAGGGCAACGGGUAACGAAUACACAACGAAACACACAAACGUGGCACAGAUGUGGCCCACCACUACCUGCCUACAUCAAACAAAUCUGCCGUACUCCGAUAGCCAUAUCGUAGUACGACAGCGUCUUGAUGCCCCACGUAAAACACAUAAGAGCCCCGACCCUCGCCCCCAUCUUACCUCCAUUCCCGGUUGGACGUUGGCCCCAUCUUCCGAGGCCUGCUGCACGUGCAGCACAUGGAUGGGAACAUGACAAUUAGGGCAGGCACGUCAAUGGCGGAGGCGAAACAUACACGCCCCCCUCCCCCAACCAGCCCCAGCCACCCUCCAUAGCAUCAGGAACAAGAAAGAGGGCAACGGGUAACGAUUCUACAACGAAACACACAACCGUGGCACAGAUGUGGCCCACCACUAUCUGCCUACAUCAAACAAAUCUGCCGUACUCCGAUAGCCAUAUCGGAGUACGACAGCAUUUUGAUGGCCCAUGAAAAACACAUAAGAGCCCCGACCCCCGCCCCCAUCUUACCUCCAUUCCCGGCUGGACGUCGGCCCCAUCUUCCGAGGCCUGCUGCACGUGCAGCACAUGGAUGGGAACAUGACAAUUAGGGCAGGCACGUCAAUGGCGGAGGCGAAACAUACACGCCCCCCUCCCCCAACCAGCCCCAGCCACCCUCCAUAGCAUCAGGAACAAGAAAGAGGGCAACGGGUAACGAUUCCACAACGAAACACACAACCGUGGCGCAGAUGUGGCCCACCACUACCUGCCUACAUUGGGACAUUGGACAUUGAAGCCAUAAUAGCCAAAGCACAUUGGGAAGCAUGAAUAUAGCCGGUGAACUUAUCAUAAGUGAAAUUUAGGUUACUUAGGGUGUUUGCCACUUGUUUUGGUGCUCCGAUGUAACAUGACCAUUGGUAGUCAUGGUCAUGGCCCAAAGGAACGCCGAUUGUUCCAGCACAAAGUAGAAUAUAGUUGAUGAACAAAUAAGUACAUAGGCAAGGUUACCCGAGGACAACGUCGAUCGACCUGGUCGACCAGGUCCGCCAAUGUAGUGGGUCCAUGCCACAAUAUCCGAAAGUCAGCUGAAAUCAUUUAAAACCUUGUCAGGUUUACUGAACAAAAUUACGACCGACGAGGUUUCCAUGCAAUUGGCUGACAUAACCCACGUCAAAAGUAACCUCAUCCAGACAACCGUCCCGUAGCUGCUGAGCCUUGGGCGCUACACGUCUCUGGACUGCCAAAUGGCCGUAGGUAGAGAGCAAAUCGUAAGGACAAAUAAUGCCUCCCUACACUCAUAUUUGAUGGCAAACAUGUUAACUAACCUCGUCAUAACAUUUCACACACUCAGCGCGCAUAUCUGUGCCUAAUUAUGACACUUUCAAGGUUGCACAUUUAUCAAGCUUCUAGCUGGCGAGUAACCUGUCCAGACAACUGCCCCGUAGCUACCGAGCCUGACGAGUUACACGUCUCCAGACUGCCAUAGGGAGGGCAGUUGCCGUCUCCGCCUCGUCCGUAAAGUUUCUUUAGUUUAGCAUUAAAUAGCAGCCUGUAUCGAGCUUUCAGUACUUGCAGUUUGAGCCAGUGUGGCAUCUUUGUGUUACUAAGGAAGGAAUUGCUAGAUUCGGGGUCUAACUUCGAGGCAGUGUUACGCCAUUUUUCAGUUAGUAUUGUGUCGUUGGUAUAGCCUGCGAAGGUACCUUGCUGGAGACGCUUAUAAAGGCCUUUGUUCAGGUCACUAAUGUAAAGACCAGUGUCGCGUUGUUUCAGCCAGAACACUUUAUCGAACGGGGCAUUGUCGGCCUUUUCAGUAAAUGUUGCUGGGUUCUCACCUCGUGCGACAGAUGUUGC